ACGUAGGGGACGAGCGUUGUCCGGAUUUACUGGGCGUAAAGGGCGCGUAGGCGGUCAUUUAAGUCAGCUGUGAAAUGGUUUGGCUUAACCGGAUCAUGCGGUUGAAACUGGAUGACUGGAGUGCUGGAGAGGCAAGUGGAAUUCCCAGUGUGGGGGUGGAAGGCGAGGAGAUUGGGAAGAGGACCGGUGGCGAGGGCGGCUUGCUGGAUAGCAUCUCAUGCUGAGCCGCGUAAGCCAGUGUAGCAAACGG
Molecule: ribosomal RNA, 250 nt
Filed under: uncultured prokaryote
Description: partial 16S rRNA
Rfam family: Bacterial small subunit ribosomal RNA
Source: RNAcentral